RNAcentral lists this ribosomal RNA (199 nucleotides) under Vibrio sp. RNAcentral describes it as "16S ribosomal RNA". It matches the Rfam family "Bacterial small subunit ribosomal RNA", at positions 335 to 526 of the family's 1533-position model. The record is from RNAcentral. Lineage: Bacteria; Pseudomonadati; Pseudomonadota; Gammaproteobacteria; Vibrionales; Vibrionaceae.
ACUCCUACGGGAGGCAGCAGUGGGGAAUAUUGCACAAUGGGCGCAAGCCUGAUGCAGCCAUGCCGCGUGUAUGAAGAAGGCCUUCGGGUUGUAAAGUACUUUCAGUUGUGAGGAAGGGGGUAACGUUAAUAGCGCUAUCUCUUGACGUUAGCAACAGAAGAAGCACCGGCUAACUCCGUGCCAGCAGCCGCGGUAAUAC